This 453-nucleotide ribosomal RNA is filed under the name uncultured Porphyromonadaceae bacterium. Its description in RNAcentral is "partial 16S ribosomal RNA". It matches the Rfam family "Bacterial small subunit ribosomal RNA", at positions 341 to 792 of the family's 1533-position model. Lineage: Bacteria; Pseudomonadati; Bacteroidota; Bacteroidia; Bacteroidales; Porphyromonadaceae. The record is from RNAcentral.
ACGGAAGGCAGCAGUGAGGAAUAUUGGUCAAUGGGCGGAAGCCUGAACCAGCCAAGUCGCGUGAAGGAAGACGGUAUUAUGUAUUGUAAACUUCUUUAGACGCAGAGAAAUAAGGGGCUUGCGAGCUCUGAUGCUAGUAUGCGUAGAAUAAGGAUCGGCUAACUCCGUGCCAGCAGCCGCGGUAAUACGGAGGAUCCGAGCGUUAUCCGGAUUUAUUGGGUUUAAAGGGUGCGCAGGCGGCGCUUUAAGUCAGUGGUCAAAGCGUGAGGCUCAACCUCAUGCCGCCAUUGAUACUGGAGCGCUUGAUUGCGGUUGAGGUAGGCGGAAUUCGUCGUGUAGCGGUGAAAUGCAUAGAUAUGACGAAGAACCCCGAUUGCGUAGGCAGCUUACCAAGCCGUAAAUGACGCUCAUGCACGAAAGUGCGGGGAUCGAACAGGAUUAGAUACCCUGGUA